RNAcentral lists this ribosomal RNA (252 nucleotides) under uncultured bacterium. Its description in RNAcentral is "partial 16S ribosomal RNA". It matches the Rfam family "Bacterial small subunit ribosomal RNA", at positions 525 to 776 of the family's 1533-position model. The record is from RNAcentral.
ACAGAGGGUGCAAGCGUUAAUCGGAAUUACUGGGCGUAAAGCGCGCGUAGGUGGUUUGUUAAGUCGGAUGUGAAAUCCCAGGGCUCAACCUUGGAAUGGCACCCGAUACUGGCAAGCUAGAGUAUGGUAGAGGGGUGUGGAAUUUCCUGUGUAGCGGUGAAAUGCGUAGAUAUAGGAAGGAACAUCAGUGGCGAAGGCGACACCCUGGACUGAUACUGACACUGAGGUGCGAAAGCGUGGGGAGCAAACAGG